AGUGAACGCUGGCGGUAGGCCUAACACAUGCGAGUCGAACGGCAGCACAGUAAGAGCUUGCUCUUACGGGUGGCGAGUGGCGGACGGGUGAGGAAUACAUCGGAAUCUACUUUUUCGUGGGGGAUAACGUAGGGAAACUUACGCUAAUACCGCAUACGACCUACGGGUGAAAGCAGGGGAUCUUCGGACCUUGCGCGAUUGAAUGAGCCGAUGUCGGAUUAGCUAGUUGGCGGGGUAAAGGCCCACCAAGGCGACGAUCCGUAGCUGGUCUGAGAGGAUGAUCAGCCACACUGGAACUGAGACACUGUCCAGACUCCUACGGGAGGCAGCAGUGGGGAAUAUUGGACAAUGGGCGAAAGCCUGAUCCAGCCAUGCCGCGUGUGUGAAGAAGGUCUUCGGAUUGUAAAGCACUUUAAGUUGGGAGGAAGGGCAGUAAGUUAAUACCUUGCUGUUUUGACGUUACCAACAGAAUAAGCACCGGCUAACUUCGUG
RNAcentral lists this ribosomal RNA (492 nucleotides) under uncultured bacterium. Its description in RNAcentral is "partial 16S ribosomal RNA". It matches the Rfam family "Bacterial small subunit ribosomal RNA", at positions 29 to 507 of the family's 1533-position model. The record is from RNAcentral.